AGUUAACCAAAUCCUUCGGAUAAGAGGUUUUUCCGGAUAAUGACUAUAGUUGACAUUGUGUGAAAAUACAUUGUAUGUCAAUGUUUAACCUCAGAGCAAUUAAUAUGCAUGCAAGUGGUCGGGGGAAAAGUACUAUUGAAGUUUCGCAGAGAUUUGGUGUGUGACAAGGUGAUGCUAAAACCAACUUCUCUUGAUAUUCUGCUUUCCGUGGGCGAAUCAUCAGUGAUGUUAUGAGACUUGCACCAGAAGGCAAAAUUGGUGCGUCUUUAAAUUAGAUUGAUUGAUUGAUUGUUGGUU
RNAcentral lists this long non-coding RNA (297 nucleotides) under Mytilus galloprovincialis (Mediterranean mussel). Lineage: Eukaryota; Metazoa; Mollusca; Bivalvia; Mytilida; Mytilidae. The record is from RNAcentral.